GCGGUAAUAGCUCAGUGGUAGAGCCCACGUUUAGCAUGCAUGAAGUCCAGGGUUCAAUCCCCAGUACCUCCA
This 72-nucleotide transfer RNA is filed under the name Camelus bactrianus (Bactrian camel). It matches the Rfam family "tRNA". From Rfam's summary of the family: Transfer RNA (tRNA) molecules are approximately 80 nucleotides in length. Their secondary structure includes four short double-helical elements and three loops (D, anti-codon, and T loops). Further hydrogen bonds mediate the characteristic L-shaped molecular structure. tRNAs have two regions of fundamental functional importance: the anti-codon, which is responsible for specific mRNA codon recognition, and the 3' end, to which the tRNAs corresponding amino acid is attached (by aminoacyl-tRNA synthetases). tRNAs cope with the degeneracy of the genetic code in two manners: having more than one tRNA (with a specific anti-codon) for a particular amino acid; and 'wobble' base-pairing, i.e. permitting non-standard base-pairing at the 3rd anti-codon position. The record is from Rfam by way of RNAcentral. RNAcentral also lists the same sequence under 2 other names. Lineage: Eukaryota; Metazoa; Chordata; Mammalia; Artiodactyla; Camelidae.